Molecule: non-coding RNA, 394 nt
Organism: Delphinapterus leucas (beluga whale)
Lineage: Eukaryota; Metazoa; Chordata; Mammalia; Artiodactyla; Monodontidae
Source: RefSeq, a predicted model, not a curated record
AGUUCUUGAUUUCGUCGCAGAUCACGUCAUCGCACAACACGUUGCCGUUGUCGCAGACACAGAUCUGGCAGGGCACGGGUUUCCACACGUCUCGGUCAUGGUACCUGAGGCCGUUCUGUACGCAGGUCUGGAGGUGGGGUCCACACCGGGCAACAAUCCCGGUCUUCCCGCUCCGGCUCCUGCGCGGGGAAGCGCUGGAUAAGGAGGCGCACUGCCCAGUGUAGAUCAGCAGAGGGCGCAAGGACUCUGCCUGACCAAGUCCGCGCCGAAGAAUCUCUUCCUUCAACCCGCCCACGCUCCACGCCCCCUCCCCCGCUCCGCCCAGCACCUCCGCGGACCCAGGAACAUUGUCUAGCCUGCAGAGAGGGUAAACAGUCUUUCCUUAUGAAUCAUC